RNAcentral lists this non-coding RNA (29 nucleotides) under Mus musculus (house mouse). Lineage: Eukaryota; Metazoa; Chordata; Mammalia; Rodentia; Muridae. The record is from RNAcentral.
UGGAAGACAUAUCACAACCAUAUUGUCUC